GAAUGCACAUACUUGUCCUAAAUACUGCAUAUUUAAUAAUUUAGGAAACACAUCACUUAAAAAUUACAACAUUUAAAAAAAUUACAACACCUAGAACAAGUUUUGAAAUUGGAUGCAUUAUGUUCAGGAAUCAAGGGCUAGAGGGUUGUGGGUGAAAUGGAGAAUUUACCACCUUGAAAAUGUUUCAGGGGGCUGGCUCAGUGGUUAAGAGAGCCUGUUCUUCCGAAGGUCCAGAGUUCAAAUCCCAGCAACCACAUGGUGGCUCACAACCAUCCGUAACAAAAUCUGAUGCCCUCUUCUGGAGUGUCUGAAGACAACUACAGAGUACUUACAUAUAGUAAAUAAAUAAAUCUAAAAAAAAAAAAAAAAAGAAAAAGAAAAUAUUUCAGUAUACUGUUUAUUUUUAUUGAGAACAACGCUCCUUGAGUCUAAACAACUUCCUACUUCCAUAUUUCAAAUUUAUUUUGGCAAGUACAUUUUAAGUUGUACUUUGACUCUCAGGAGAGCCUGAUGGUAUAACUUGGGUCUCGAGGGUGGAAAGAAAGACUGGCAUUAUGUAGAGCAUCCAGCACUAGACACUCAGACAGUGUGAGCUGGGAAGAUCCAAAUACUCUGCUUGUUCUGUCCUGAAUGGUCACCUGGUGGUCCUCAGAACAAAGAGCGGAGGAAUGCCUUCAGGGUUCACUCCUGUAGGUGCUGGGGAGAGUGUGGACACCACACUGCGGCUUCCAUAUGGGAGUGACAGGAGGGUUCUGCCUACUGGAGUGCAGCUGUGGGCUGGCAGGAGCCUCCGGGAUGUCAAUUUGCAUUGGUAAAGGUAUCACUCUCUGGGGGGUGGGGGGGUGGGGGGGGGAGCUCUGUGUUCCUGAAUCAUGCUUACAUCACUGGAGGAACUAUAUAAAGCUUCUAUUUUUAUACGGUGUCUUAGGCUAAAACAAGCAGGAAGUGGCUGUUCUGAAGAGAAGAGGGAGAUACACAUGUAUUGCUGGUUUGUGUAUGAGUGGUCUCCUUUCGGAGGUAGUCCAGUGCAGCCCACUACAGCCCUCGCAGUGGUUAAACAGCCUGUGUCUGUGUUGUUAGAUGCCACAGCGUCCAGGGAUGGAGUACGUGAUGUCUGCCAAAUCUCAAAAACUACAUUUUAAAUGCAAUUUACUUAAAUAGUCACUUGUGGCUACCAUACUGCACAGCAAGGCCUAACCUGUUACGCUGGGGCAGGAGGACAUUGUCUGUGAUUAUAAACAAACAAAUGAACGAACAAAUGAAUGAAUGAAUUAAUAAAUGGGUAAUUUUUCCUUUUUUUUUUAACCCAAAGAACUGAUUUGCCCUCAGAAUCAUAUAAUUUAAAAAGGUUACCACAUAACACACAAUUAAAACAAACAAACAAACAAACAAACACAACCUAAAACAAAAGGGUUACUAAGGCUGGGAGAUGGCUCAGUGGUUAAAGCUGUUGCUAUCCAAAUCUAAGAACCAGGUGGCUCACCUGCCAUUCCAGUCUGGGUACCCAGUGCAAACUGGCUAGCUAGCCAGGCCUACCGGAAGCUGUUGUCUUGAAUAGGAGAUAGAGCCUCGGUCAAUAAAGUGGGAAGAUGCUAGAGUAGGAGUCAAACUCUGGCCUCUCCAUGGGGACACACACAGGUGCACCCCACACACAUGCAAAACCACGCAACACAUCCGCGCACUCACAGAAAAUGGAAAGAAGAAAGAUUAAUAUUGGCAUUUCAGUAUUUUCAGCGUUUUUUUUCCUAUCUCAGUAGCGUCACUUCAACAGAAAGCAAACUGUCCAGAGGCAGGCGAAAGGACGAAACAUCUUUCUUCCUCACACUUAAAACUGUUUCAUCCGGGCGUGGUGGCGCACACCUUUAAUCCCAGCACUCGGGAGGCAGAGGCGGGCGGAUUUCUGAGUUCGAGGCCAACCUGGUCUACAAAGUGAAUUCCAGGACAGCCAAGGCUACACAGAGAAACCCUGUUUCAAAAUAAACAAACAAACAAAAAAAACCAAAACAAAACAAAAAAACCUGUUUCAAAUUGAUGAUUAGUCCUAAACAAAUGACUAAGAUUGUAUUUCAUACUCAAGUACAGGCUUUAUAUCAAGAUUUGAAAACUAAAAUGUGAAAAGAUGGAAGGGUAGAAUUUCAUACAAAUGGACUUCUUAAUGUAUGUAAAUUCUAUUUUAAUAAAACCAGCCUUUGCGU
This 2195-nucleotide long non-coding RNA is filed under the name Mus musculus (house mouse). Its description in RNAcentral is "long non-coding RNA chr9:110981867-110984062". The record is from RNAcentral. Lineage: Eukaryota; Metazoa; Chordata; Mammalia; Rodentia; Muridae.